GACGAACGCUGGCGGCGUGCUUAACACAUGCAAGUCGAGCGGAAAGGCCACUUCGGUGGUACUCGAGCGGCGAACGGGUGAGUAACACGUGAGUAAUCUGCCCCUGGCUUUGGGAUAGCCACCGGAAACGGUGAUUAAUACCGGAUACGACCACUUCUCGCAUGGGAUGGUGGUGGAAAGUUUUUUCGGCCAGGGAUGUGCUCGCGCCCUAUCAGCUUGAUGGUGAGGUAAUGGCUCACCAUGGCUUCGCCGGGUAGCCGGCCUGAUAGGGUGACCGGUUACACUGGGACUGAGACACGGCCCAGACUCAUUCGGGAGGCAGUAUUGGGGAAUAUUGGACAAUGGGCGGAAGCCGGAUCCAGCAACGCCGCGUGAUGGCUGACGGCCUUCGGGUUGUAAACCUCUUUCAGCAGGGACGAAGCGCAAGUGACGGUACCUGCAGAGGAAGCACCGGCCAACUACGUGCCAGCAGCCGCAGUAA
This 481-nucleotide ribosomal RNA is filed under the name uncultured bacterium. Its description in RNAcentral is "partial 16S ribosomal RNA". It matches the Rfam family "Bacterial small subunit ribosomal RNA", at positions 28 to 523 of the family's 1533-position model. The record is from RNAcentral.